Molecule: ribosomal RNA, 427 nt
Filed under: uncultured bacterium
Lineage: Bacteria
Description: partial 16S ribosomal RNA
Rfam family: Bacterial small subunit ribosomal RNA
Source: RNAcentral
UGGGGAAUAUUGCACAAUGGGCGCAAGCCUGAUGCAGCCAUGCCGCGUGUAUGAAGAAGGCCUUCGGGUUGUAAAGUACUUUCAGCGGGGAGGAAGGGAGUAAAGUUAAUACCUUUGCUCAUUGACGUUACCCGCAGAAGAAGCACCGGCUAACUCCGUGCCAGCAGCCGCGGUAAUACGGAGGGGGCAAGCGUUAAUCGGAAUUACUGGGCGUAAAGCGCACGCAGGCGGUUUGUUAAGUCAGAUGUGAAAUCCCCGGGCUCAACCUGGGAACUGCAUCUGGUACUGGCAAGCUUGAGUCUCGUAGAGGGGGGUAGAAUUCCAGGUGUAGCGGUGAAAUGCGUAGAGAUCUGGAGGAAUACCGGUGGCGAAGGCGGCCCCCUGGACGAAGACUGACGCUCAGGUGCGAAAGCGUGGGGAGCAAACA